Molecule: ribosomal RNA, 497 nt
Filed under: uncultured bacterium
Lineage: Bacteria
Description: partial 16S ribosomal RNA
Rfam family: Bacterial small subunit ribosomal RNA
Source: RNAcentral
GAUGAACGCUGGCGGCGUGCCUAAUACAUGCAGGUCGAGCGAACAGACGAGGAGCUUGCUCCUCUCACGUUAGCGGCGGACGUGUGUGUAACACGUGUAUCCCCUACCUAUCUGUCUGGGAUAACUUCGGGACACCGGCUCUAAUCCCGGAUAAUCUAUUGCACCGCAUGGUUCAUUGGUGAAAGUCGGUGUUGCUGGCUCUUCUAGCUGGAUCCGCGCCGCAUUAGCUAGUUGGUAAGGUAACGGCUUACCAAGGCUACGAGGCGUAGACGAACUGAGAGGGGGAUCGGCCACACGGGAACUGAGACGCGGUCCAGACGCCUAAGGGAGGCAGCAGUAGGGAAUCUGCCGCAAUAGGCGAAAGCCUGACGGAGCAACGCCGCGUGAGUGAUGAAGGUCUCCGGAUCGUAAAACUCUGUUAUUAGGGAAGAACAAAUGUGUAAGUAACUAUGCACGUCUUGACGGUACCUAAUCAGAAAGCCACGGCUAACUACGUG